GUCCUUAGUUACCAGCACGUUAUGGUGGGCACUCUAAGGAGACUGCCGGUGGACAAACCGGAGGAAGGUGGGGAGUGACGUCAAGUCAUCAUGGCCCUUACGGCCUGGGCUACACACGUGCUACAAUGGUCGGUACAAAGGGUUGCCAAGCCGCGAGGUGGAGCUAAUCCCAUAAAACCGAUCGUAGUCCGGAUCGCAGUCUGCAACUCGACUGCGUGAAGUCGGAAUCGCUAGUAAUCGUGAAUCAGAAUGUCACGGUGAAUACGUUCCCGGGCCUU
Molecule: ribosomal RNA, 278 nt
Filed under: uncultured Pseudomonas sp.
Lineage: Bacteria; Pseudomonadati; Pseudomonadota; Gammaproteobacteria; Pseudomonadales; Pseudomonadaceae
Description: partial 16S ribosomal RNA
Rfam family: Bacterial small subunit ribosomal RNA
Source: RNAcentral